GGCGAAUCCAGUUGGAUUUUUUAAAAAAGCAGCAAUGGUAAGGAUUGUGUUACUAGGAGAAAUGAAAAACAGUUUCUGCAAGCAAAAAUACUCCACUUAGAUCCGCUUGGUUUUAUCGCAAGUAUUCAGCAAUAAGAUGGAAAGGGAGAAGGUGUAUAAUUGGGCUAUGUUCCCCUACCCCUGAGCUUCCCGUUCUUCUGCAAAAGAAUUAGAGCUAGCAUCAAUAGAAGACAGCCCAAUAGAGCAGAGUUAUCUGCAUAUCAAACUAAAAGAAGCAAUUCCAAAAGAAUAAAGCUACUGGCAGGAGAAAUAAGCAUUUAUACAAUCAGCAAUGCGCAGAAGCACACGCACUUGCGGCCCCAUUACAAACUGGUAGUAAAGACAGGACGUGACAACAUGCAAGUGAAGAAAAGAUUGAAGAGGUCUGAAGCUGGCACACAUCCCUGCUUCACCUCAGUGGAAGCAGCAAAUGUAAG
Molecule: non-coding RNA, 476 nt
Organism: Pantherophis guttatus
Lineage: Eukaryota; Metazoa; Chordata; Lepidosauria; Squamata; Colubridae
Source: RefSeq, a predicted model, not a curated record